RNAcentral lists this long non-coding RNA (254 nucleotides) under Erythranthe guttata (spotted monkey flower). Its description in RNAcentral is "long non-coding RNA (EGUT_LNC000115)". Lineage: Eukaryota; Viridiplantae; Streptophyta; Magnoliopsida; Lamiales; Phrymaceae. The record is from RNAcentral.
UGCUGUUUUCACAUAAAAAAUCUACUCAAUCAUCGAUUUUCUCAUGAAUGAUUAGUUUAAAGUGAGUUGAGAAAGAUAGAGAUGAAUCUCUACAACGUAAUUCUAGGAAGGUUUGGCUGCCCUAAUUAGUUGCAUAAAAUUCUUGCGUAUCUUUAUAAUAUCAAAUUUUCCGCAAGGUGUAUUUUUCUUUGAACUCAUUGCACAUUUAGCCGGAUAGGAUUUUCAAAGCAUAUGGCUAUAAAUCUCCAAAAAUC